CAGAGACAGAGUCAUGUCUGCUGCAUUGAGACAGUGAGAGGACACGGUGCACACGGAGCUACAGACACUCAAAGAUGAGCGCGCUGUUCACCACACGUAUGCUCCAGGUGAUAAACACGGACCGUCAGCGUGACACAUUAUCACAGACAUUUCAACUGUUGUAACCGGCGGAGCAGCAAGUGAUUUGACGGUCUGGAUCGAUGCGUUGCUGGGUCACUGACCAGCCUUCUCUGGCUUGGGAGCCGUGGUGGAAGACACGGGAACGGAAGUCCAGUCGGUUGAAGGUCUUUAGACUGCGGUGGACCGCACACAACAAUGGCUAAAGGAACGUUUUAGUUCCUUGAAAAGUAGUUCUUGGAGAUAAAAGUUUGGGAGGAAACGUGGCCUUCUCUUCUCUGGGGAUCCAAAGGUCCAGGGUUCGAAUCCCUGGGGCAGCCAAGUCGUACUUUCCAACAAUGUGGCAAUACAUACAUGUGCUGUGUUUUCAAGUGCUCAUCGAUGUCAUUAAUUCCAAAAUUGCCCAUUGUACUUGGACCCCUUGAAAAUUAUUUUCCUUUGCUAAAAAGUAUUUGUGCAGCAAAAACACAAAAUGGAUGGAUUGCAAAUUCCAACCACUACUCAUGCACAUGACCUCAAGGUGACGCUGUAAUAAUCAAGUUUACAUUUUCACAAUUAUCUAAAACGGCUUGGCCUAUCAUUGUAAUCUCUCAAGUCAUCCGCAUCUGGUCUUCUGCUCUGAAAAUGUCAAAUUUUACGAUUUUUCGUAAUCUGCUUGGACCCUGAUCAUUGCAGCUUACGGCUAUAUUUAGGGAUCCAAGCAGUGAAGCUUGGUUUAACCUUCAAGACUCUGAUUCCAAAAGCCCUUUCGAUUAUGCUGCGCCCCCUGGAAUGAUAAUAAUUGAAGCGCCCCUGUAUGUGUCCAUUAACGGGCUCCUUGGUGUGAUUAGGCAGAUUGGUGUGUCCAAACAAGGAUAGCUACCAUCACCCAGAAGGAUGUAACCUGUGGGAGGGUAUCGUCUUGCCCUGUAAAAGCUACAUGAAGCUCUCCUGCCUGUGGGACUUCAGGUUGAGCCAUGUGUUGUGCAACUUUGUGGAUAAUGCGGUGGACUGUGGAUUUUGGCACUUUGAAGACACUGGCUACAACGCGUUAGGACAGUCCAUGAGCCCGCCAGUAAACAUAGAUCGUGACCAGCUGAUUAUCCCAGCCAUGGUUCUGUUCCCUCUGUAGCAGCCUCUGCAGACCAUGCAUGGCUCUCCUGCUGAGGCGGAAGUCCUGCUUCAGCUCGGCCUCCACGUUAAUCCACAAACGCAGGAUGGGCAUGUUGUGAUUCAGCUUGCACUAUGACGUAGGAUGACCAGUCUGAAAAAAUUAAUAAUUUCACAUAAUUUAUUGGAAGGACUUUUAUUUUUAGAAACUGCGUGAAAUCCCCCAAACCAAACGCAUAUGGCAUAAACACGUUAAUACAAUGCAUGGUGUAUGGUAUUCUGUCCUAUCAGACCUGCACACAGAUCAUCACACAAUGAAGACAGCAUUCAGUUAUCAGGGUCUUGAAGGGUUGUCCCAUUUCAUAUUGGAAUAUUUUAAACACUGAGGGCCACUCGAAAAACAGGGGGUAGGGGUGAAGAUAAAGAUCCUUAUUCACAAAGACUUGCUGCUGUAAUAAAUGCAAAAGGUGCUUCCACAAAGUAUUAAUUGGAUGGGGUGUGCAGUCUUAUGCAAUCAGGGUGUUUCUGUGUUUCUAUUUCUGUCUUUACAUUUCAAAAACCUGCAAUUUCAUGAGGGUUUGUAGACUUUUUAUAUCCACUUUACUUUGCGAUUCAACACUUGCAUAGAAUCAGUGAUAGUUUCAUAAUUGCAGGGCUCCAGGGUGUGACCAUUUUGGUUGAACAUGUGACCAAAAAUCUGUCAAGUGUGACUAAACAUUUUCAUUGGUCGCACUAGUGUGCCCGAAAUUUAGCAGGUCUGAUAAAAAUAAAAAACUACGCCAUCCAUGAUCAAUUAAUUAGUGGACAAUCUACCCCCGCUCUACCCCUCCCCUGCGGUCUACUGAUAAUCGCACAUGCUCUGCAGAGAAACACAGAGAGAGAGAGCGAUUUGCAAAUAUGCAUAACUUACUCUGUAAACACGUAUUUUACUUUCACAUAAAAAUUAUAUAGGUUUUACAAAUGUAAAUUGCUUCACCACAGAACUACAUGUAAAGUCAUAUUUACGCAUUGGUGGAUCCAUUUAUAUUAUUCACUGUUUUAUUAAAUCUCUCUUCACUUAUUAAACUUUAUUCAUUUGUAGCGUACACUUGAUUAAAAAUUUUUGUACACAGGAUAUGUUAGUUCUCCUUCUGGCAUGAGCAUUAAUAUAGAGGACCAAUUCAGAGCUUAUCAAAAUGAUAUAUCACCAUGCAAGAGAUUAUCACAGAAAACAUCAGACUGUAGUGUCAUGUGCUGUACAUCAAAUAAUUUAACAGACUGAUUCAAUUACCUUCUUAAUUCAUGCUGGACCCGCUCACUGGGGGUGAGAUGAGUUGUAUAGUUAGUCUACCUGAAUCCCUAAUUAAUGUGCGGAAAUAACGUUCAAUCUUUAAAAAAACAUGCUAAUCUCCCGGGAGUGUUCACAACAGCCGCCAUGGGAGUAAGGGCCAAUUCAGACCAAAUCAGGCGCUAGGGUGAAAACGCCAGUCCUCCCAUUCAUUUGAGUGGGGAAGGUCGGUUUAGGCUGCGGUGGUGGGGACUUGUAGGGUAUGCCGGAAAAAAACCUGCAGUGACCUGCAGCAGAAAAGUUGAAACGAAAUCAACUUUUGGAGAAACGCAACCCAACAUCAUGCUGCCAAUCCGGCGACCAGACUGGCCAACCUGAAAUAUCACUGAAACUAGGUGCAAUUGGCGCAAUGCCUGAUUUGGUCUGAAUACGGCCUAACGUUAACAGUUUAACGUUAUGGCUGCAGGAGUAGUUAGCUGGACGCUGCAUCAACCCAUUUUUUUAGCUAACAAGUUUAAAAUGUAUGCAUCUUUUGACUGCAGUCAGGUUAGGUGCUGUUUAUUACUUACUAUUACUUAGCAAAGACAAAACAUAUUAGGAGAACCCUUGCUACAUUACAUACUGUUUUCACAAUUAUCAUUGGAGUUUUAUCAACAAAAAACAGUUGCUGCUCAAAGAAUGACACUGACGCCAACUGAUUGUGGCGUAUUCAGGUCUGUUCUCUGUGUGUGUGUGUGUGUGUGUGCACACACGCAUGUAUAACCACCUGCUGGCAUAGUUACUAACUCCACCUCACAUUUGUGGAUUUUUUCUACAGUUCUGCUCUGCGGUACGAAUUGGACAAAAAUACGCAAACAAAUAAGAGGGAAGUCACAAAUGUCACAUGGCCCACAAACUAUUUUUGUGGGGAAACUAUUUACAUUUGUAUAACCUUUUUCACAUUAAAAUUUUUUAUGUGAAAUUAAAAUGUGUUUACAGAGUAAGUUAUGCAUAUUUGCAAAUCGCUCUGUAUUUUUGUGGAUAUGACUUUACAUAACAUAAAAAAUACAUGUUUGUGGAUAGUAAAAUAUUUUUGGAUCAUGGUACACAUUUGUGGAUUGUCUUCUGUGGGUUACAACUAUUAAAGUCCAAUCAAAACUUCCAUAGUGUUGCACUAAGAGAGGCACACAGCUAAGCAGCGACAACAAGCACAUGAAAUAUUCUAUCCAAAAACACAGGAUACUACAUUUCCCAUAAUGUAACCAAUGACAAAUGUUUUUUGUCACAGCCUCCUUGCAUGAUAAACACCCACAUCUUUCAAACUCCACACAUCCAGUUUGUAGUGCAGGCUUUGCGUUAUACAGUAUAUGUGUAGUCUCCACAUCCAGGUUGAAAUAAUAUUUUCUCAGACUUGACAACACUCCUCUAGAGCCACAGAAGACUUUAUAUAACUGUUUUCACAUGCUGAGGAGUACUAACCAUGACCAUUAAACUGAUCUUUAUGUAUAAAAUAGGUGCUCUGCCCCUUUCAAAUAUUAUGUCAAUUUUACCAGUGAAAUGCAUUUCAGUUGAAUAGUUCACAGUGAAAAUGCAUUUUUAGGUGAAAUCCUAACAUCCAUUUUGACUUCCCCAGGUGUCUCUCAGGUAUCACUGUCGACUGUACAGUGAGUGGCAAAAGUCCAAUCAGAGCGUAGUCCUCCUCCUUCCCUGGUCACAGGGUGAAGUGUCAGCACUGCAUUACUCACAAGGCUCACAGCAAGGGAAGCAGCCGUCCAAAGAAUCAAUAGUCUGAGCACAGAGCCAGCUCCAAGACAAGCUCUCAUCAGGGGACUCUGUUCAUCUUCUGCUCUCUUCGCACUUUAAAGCACCGCUCUGAGAUGUUCUGCUAGAGCUGAUGUCGUGUGUGAACUGCCACAGGUCCAAGUAGCACACUAAUUUUGAACACAGUAUAGGACUGCCUCGUCUGGACAGAAAGAUACUGUCAGCUGAUCAAGCAGCUAUCUUGGCUCCUGAUGAGGGAUGAAGUGUUUUGGUCAACCAAAAACACUGUGAUCGUAACUUGCAGUAACAACACCACAAUGAUGAAAAGUCUGAGACAUUUUUACACCACGAUGAAGAUAUUAUGGGUUUAGUAUUGUGUCAAGAAACAGUUUGACAUCUUGGGAAAUCUUCUUCUUUGCUGAGUCAGUUGAGAAGUUAGUAGUUGUUGUACUGUAGGCACCUACUUCAGACAACAAAGAAGCUGUGGACAUCUUUGUAUUUCAUGGAUGAAACAAAGUGAACAUGUGUUUGAUAUGAAGUUGGUCCCUGGUGUUAUCCCUCUAAUCUGUGCCUCAACUGAAGUCAAACACAGUCUUAAAGUCCUCUCCUGGUACAGGUUCAUGCACACUAAUGGCUACAGUCAAUCUUAUUAAAAUCAUUAAGAAGUUUUGGCACUUUUGAUUGCUUGAUUAAUUAAUUAAUUAAUUGGGACACAAUCCAAGGGCCUUUUUUAAAAAAAAAACAUUUUGUUGUUUGGUCUGUUUCAUGUGUGUUGUAGAAAAAUAAA
Siniperca chuatsi (mandarin fish) is the source of this 5000-nucleotide long non-coding RNA. RefSeq lists it as uncharacterized. The record is from RefSeq and is a predicted model, not a curated record. Lineage: Eukaryota; Metazoa; Chordata; Actinopteri; Centrarchiformes; Sinipercidae. The transcript has 3 exons.